CAAAGGCUUGGUCCUGACUUUAUUAUCAACUUUAGCCAAACUUACACAUGCAAGUAUCCGCGCCCCUGUGAGAAUGCCCUACAGUUCCCCGCCCGGAAACAAGGAGCUGGUAUCAGGCACCCCCUAUUGGUGCCCACGACGCCUUGCUUAGCCACACCCUCAAGGGAACUCAGCAGUGAUAGACAUUAAGCCAUAAGUGAAAACUUGACUUAGUUAAAGCUAAGAGGGCCGGUAAAACUCGUGCCAGCCACCGCGGUUAUACGAGAGGCCCAAGUUGACAAACACCGGCGUAAAGCGUGGUUACGUGAAACCUAACACUAAAGCCAAACAUCUUCCAGGCUGUUAUACGCAACCGGAGACAGGAAGUUCAACCACGAAAGUGGCUUUAUCUAAGCCGAACCCACGAAAGCUAAGAAACAAACUGGGAUUAGAUACCCCACUAUGCCUAGCCCUAAACAUUGAUAGUACUACACACCCACUAUCCGCCCGGGAACUACGAGCAAUAGCUUAAAACCCAAAGGACUUGGCGGUGCUUUAGAUCCCCCUAGAGGAGCCUGUUCUAGAACCGAUACCCCCCGUUCAACCUCACCCUUCCUUGUUUAACCCGCCUAUAUACCGCCGUCGUCAGCUUACCCUGUGAGGGACUAAUAGUAAGCAAGACUGGUACAGCCUAAAACGUCAGGUCGAGGUGUAGCGUAUGGAAGGGGAAGAAAUGGGCUACAUUCGCUAUUACAGCGAACACGAAUGAUGCACUGAAACGUUCAUCUGAAGGAGGAUUUAGCAGUAAGCAGGAAAUAGAGCGUCCAGCUGAAAUUGGCCCUGAAGCGCGCACACACCGCCCGUCACUCUCCCCAAAGACGCAAAUCAAUUAACUAAAACCUAAUAAUUAAAAAGGGGAGGCAAGUCGUAACAUGGUAAGUGUACCGGAAGGUGCGCUUGGAAAAAU
RNAcentral lists this non-coding RNA (946 nucleotides) under Porocottus allisi. RNAcentral describes it as "12S ribosomal RNA". It matches the Rfam family "Bacterial small subunit ribosomal RNA". The record is from RNAcentral. Lineage: Eukaryota; Metazoa; Chordata; Actinopteri; Perciformes; Cottidae.